UCCGUAGGUGAACCUGCGGAAGGAUCAUUAGUGAAACACCGGAUUCCUCUGCAAAGAGAAGGUCCGACCCACUAUCACACACACUUGUGCACUUGUCAUUUUUUACAAAUCCAUUUUGUACACACUUUUGCAUUUUGAAGGUUGAUUGCAACAAAUUUAAACGAAAGAAAAACUUUCAGCAAUGGAUCUCUUGGCUCUCGCAUCGAUGAAGAACGCAGCGAAACGCGAAAUGUAAUGUGAAUUGCAGAAUUCAGUGAAUCAUCGAAUCUUUGAACGCACCUUGCGCUCCCGGGUCAUUCCUGGGAGCAUGCUUGUUUGAGUGUCACGUACCCCCUCUCCACCCCGCCCUUGAUGAGGGUUGCUCGGGCUGGGAUCAUGGACGCUUUGUUGGCUUUGCCAACUGCGCUGAAAUUGAACAAGCUGAACCCACCUUGCGGCUUGACCUGUUGUUGUAAACUAAAUUCAAUGGGAACGCGAGCGAGGGACGAGCUUACCAGAACCGCCUUCGGGCACAGUGCAGUUUGACCUCAAAUCAAGUAGGACUACCCGCUGAACUUAAGCAUAUCAAUAAGCGGAGGAAAAGAAACUAACAAGGAUUCCCCUAGUAACGGCGAGUGAAGUGGGAAAAGCUCAACUUUGUAAUCUGGCUCUUUCAGAGUCCGAGUUGUAGUCUCGAGAAGCAACAUCCGCAUCGGACCUUGGGUAUGUCUGUUGGAAAACAGCGUCGUAGAGGGUGACAAUCCCGUUUGUACCAAGGACGACCGCGUGCAUUGUGGUGUGCUUUCCAAGAGUCGAGUUGUUUGGGAAUGCAGCUCAAAUUGGGUGGUAAAUUCCAUCUAAAGCUAAAUAUUGGCGAGAGACCGAUAGCGAACAAGUACCGUGAGGGAAAGAUGAAAAGCACUUUGGAAAGAGAAUGAAACAGUAUGUGAAAUUGCUGGAAGGGAAACGAUUGAAGUUAGACUUGCGUGGGCCCCACUCAGCCUUUUUGGUGUACUUGGGGCCCGUUGCAGGCCAGCAUCGGUUUGCUUCGCGGAAUAAGGGUGUGCGGGAUGUAGCUUCUUUUGAAGUGUUAUAAACGCGCACUGGAUGCCGAGUCGCAGACCGAGGAACGCAGCGUGUUUGUAGUGCCUGCAGGUACAGAGCGCUUAGGAUGCUGGUAGAAUAGCUUUAAACGACCCGUCUUGAAACACG
This is a ribosomal RNA of 1191 nucleotides. The stretch from base 523 to 1191 matches the Rfam family "Eukaryotic large subunit ribosomal RNA", at positions 1 to 663 of the family's 3401-position model.